Molecule: unclassified non-coding RNA, 240 nt
Filed under: soil metagenome
Description: partial contains 5.8S ribosomal RNA, internal transcribed spacer 2, and large subunit ribosomal RNA
Source: RNAcentral
AACGCACGAGACCUGCGGACCUGCGGAGGGAUCAUUACAGGACUCGCAAGACUCCUACAACCCUGUGAACUUAACUAUAAGCACGUUGCUUCGGCGGGUGUCUCGGCGAGGGUCCUCCCUCCCCGGGGCGCUAAGCCCGCCGGCAGCCUACUAUACUCUGUCUCUUUGCGUUGGCAUCUCGAGUACAAACAAACAAGUUAAAACUUUUAACAAUGGAUCUCUAGAUCGGAAGAGCACACG